Gallus gallus (chicken) is the source of this 2971-nucleotide long non-coding RNA. The record is from Ensembl. NCBI's taxonomy places the organism in Eukaryota, Metazoa, Chordata, Aves, Galliformes, Phasianidae.
GCAUACGUUGUACCUGGCUGACCAGAAGAGGUAGAGCCAGGAUCCACCCCUUCCCAGACCUCAUUUAAGGGUUGGCAGUGGAGACAAAGGUGUCUACUAGGAGAUUGUUGCAUAAUUUAGGUCUCCUGAAAGUUACUGUAUAAGAACUGUUGAAUCACAGCCUGAACCUCUAAUUGAUCACCUGAGGUGAGCACUGAGUCAGCUGCAGGACCACAGGUGAAGGCAAUUCAACUGUGACCGGAAGGGGUGGAGCCUGGCUCCACCUCUUCUAGAUCCCAUUUAAGGGCUGUCUGCCACUGGGAAAGGAUCUCUUUCUGGGAUUGCUCCUCUUAGAGUUUUUCCUGUGAGCAUACAACACAGGUCUCAUAAAUGUGUAGCCCUUCCUUCAGAUUUCUAAAGAAGAGUAGUUGAUACGAAAUACAAUUUCCAGGCAAGUUAAUUUAGAAGAUUUUAGAAGGAAAAUUAAGGUUUCAGCUGAAAAACAUGGAAACAAACAAAAAACACCAUCAGUUUUUUUCAAUCCUCUCUUCUGAAAUUGUACUAGUUUGUCACGUUGCUUUAAUAAAUAUAUUAGUAUUACAUUGCUAGCAUAUUAGCAGACAUUAUUUUUAAAAACCUACAAUGUAGAAAUACCAAAAUUUAGUGAAUGUAUUUUGUAUCUGAACCAAAAGGAAUUUUCAAAUAAUUUCACAAGUCAUUAAUACUUUUAAUUGCUCAGUUCACUUAAGUUUGCUUUAUCUUAUGCUGUCAUUUAUAUCUCUGUAAAGAAAGCAUUAAAAACUGAGGUGCAAUGUCAGUUGUUUAGAUGAUUCUUUUUCUAUGGAUGUAGUAAUUAACAUACUUAAACAUACUAAAGCAACUAUGUUAUGAACUACCAUGCUUGUUCAGAAAAACACAUGUGAUUGAAUGGCAGAGAAGUAUGAAUGAUAUUGAAUGCUUCUUACCUCUACCAGGGACAAUUUCAGAUAUUCUUCAGCUACUCAAGUUGUUUGCAUUAUGAGGCAUCAGCUGAGUAAACUAAGAUUAUGCUCUGUGGAACAGUAAUAUAAAAGCUUAGAAAUCAAUAUUGAUUUCGUUUUAAACUAUAGCAUCAUUGACUGUUAAGCAUUUUUGAGUUGGAAAUUAUUCUGUCUUGAUUUGGCUGGUGUCCCACCAAGUGUUUGCAUUAGGGUAGCAGAAUUUGUGUGUGAGGUGCAGGGAGAAACAUCCUAGUAAACUUACAUUGUGGAUGUUAGCCUGAAACAUAAGAAUGCUUCUAGUCAAAAGAUGAUAGAAUUAUUCCAUUUCCCAAGCCAGGAAACUGUAGAGAACAUAAUCUAUUUUACUGAUAGAAUGGGAAGUCACUUAAUAACCACAUAGGUCAAAUAAGGUCAUCUAUCCUGGAUGAUUUACCAUGAACAAAGCACUUCAGUGAAUCCCAUAUGAAGACAAACCAUUAUUCAAUUUAGGGGAAAGCUAUACAAAAAAAUUAUAUUGCUAGUUAAUACUUUUUUUAGGAAUUUACUUGUAAACAAUUUAUUGAAUCAGCUUUAUAGUUAAGACCAUUUAUUUUCCACACCAAACUUCAAAGGGGUAUAAGAAACAGCUUUCUUAGCCUUCACUACUAGCUUCAAUUAAUUCAUUUGACCAUAUGGUGAAAUAAAACAGAAAUUCUCACUAAGUACAGUAAACAGACACUAAGAAUUUUCUUUCAGCUGAGUUGCUGUGGCGGUUUAAGGGGAAUUUGUUCCUUCUGUUUCAUCCAGUAGGAGACACGCAUAGCUGCAUUAUGAGAACCUUGGUCCAGUUCCUCACCGGGACACUGUUGUUUGUAUUAAGUUCUGUAAGUAUUACCAUUUAUAUGGUGGUACAUAGUAUACUGUUGUGAUGAUAGUGCAUUUUUGUGGCUUCCUAAGAUCUUGGCAUUACCAGUGAUGAGGUUUUAUGAUCAUCUUAAGCUGAUUUAACAGUGGGUGUCACCUUAAAGAAGUUUCUCUCUCCCCUGGUACACAUGUCCAUUACUACAGUUUCUCAGCAUUAGCAGCAUGUGCCCUUACCUUGAGGUUGAACAGGACUAUGCUCAGACAAAAUUUAUUUUGUUCCCCACAGUUAUAAAUCAGCCCUGUGGACUGUCUCAUCAUGUAAUCCUGCCAGCUCAACUCUGACUAUAGCCAAGGAUGAAGAAGGCAAGAGGCAGGUGUAGAAAGGGUGUGAAGGAAUACCAUGGUAUACUUUGUCUCAAUUGUUGGUUACCUCUAAUGUCUUGGGCUGCAGUACUAUCUGUACUAUCUUUAAAAUCUGUUUUUCAUAGGCCAAGACAAAAAAAAAGCACAAAAAUCUUAGAAAAGCAUUUGAAAGUAUAAUUAGCUAAGCAAUUGACAACUGUUUUGUCAUGCUGUACUCAGUAAUUAUCACUUAGAUACAAAACAAAUAACGUUGCUUAUGUGCCUUAAGGUGAACUUUUGAGCAAAAAUACAGGCCAAUUAGUAUACAGCAUUUUUAUCAGGCAUACUGAUUUCAUUGGCAUAGCACAUAACAUAAACUUACAAUAAGUUGGAGCACUACUGGAAAAGAGGAUAUAACAUUGCACCAGGAGUGAGUUUUAACAAAGACUACUUUACAGUAUAAACAAUGAUGUGCUAAAUGAAAGACAUGCAGUAACAUUGAAGAAAGGACAAAAAAAAAAAUGAAAGAUGUGCUAAUACUCAAGUCAAGAGGAUAAAGGAAGGUAAGAAAGUGAGAUGAAGUGAGAAAGAGAAAAAAUAAAACAGGUAAGUUAAAAAGGUAGGUUGUAACUUUGUGAUGUUGCAUAAUGGAGUAAAAAUGGAAACAAAAAGGAAUUUUUAACAGCCUGAAUUUAAAGCCACAUCUAUGAAUUUACUUUUUAUGAGAGGGGCAAACAAUUGCUGAGCUUCAUAUUUUCGUAAAUGUUAUGUAAAAUCAAAAUUCCUUUGUAAUUUUACUGACUUUUCAAAUAAAAUUACUUUGGCUU